This 497-nucleotide ribosomal RNA is filed under the name uncultured bacterium. RNAcentral describes it as "partial 16S ribosomal RNA". It matches the Rfam family "Bacterial small subunit ribosomal RNA", at positions 28 to 507 of the family's 1533-position model. The record is from RNAcentral.
GAUGAACGCUGGCGGCGUGCCUAAUACAUGCAAGUCGAGCGAACGGACGAGAAGCUUGCUUCUCUGAUGUUAGCGGCGGACGAGUGAGUAACACGUGGAUAACCUACCUAUAAGACUGGGAUAACUUCGGGGAACCGGAGCUAAUACCGGAUAAUAUUUUGAACCGCAUGGUUCAAAAGUGAAAGACGGUCUUGCUGUCACUUAUAGAUGGAUCCGCGCUGCAUUAGCUAGUUGGUAAGGUAACGGCUUACCAAGGCAACGAUGCAUAGCCGACCUGAGAGGGUGAUCGGCCACACUGGAACUGAGACACGGUCCAGACUCCUACGGGAGGCAGCAGUAGGGAAUCUUCCGUAAUGGGCGAAAGCCUGACGGAGCAACGCCGCGUGAGUGAUGAAGGUCUUCGGAUCGUAAAACUCUGUUAUUAGGGAAGAACAUAUGUGUAAGUAACUGUGCACAUCUUGACGGUACCUAAUCAGAAAGCCACGGCUAACUACGUG